GCAUUUCCAUAACGGGGAAGGAUGAGAAGCUUCGACUAAGGUUCGAUUCGAGCGUAGCGAGAAAGCGUUGCCGCAGGCAACGACCCGAAGGGCGAGGCGCAACGCGCCGAGUAAUCCUUCCCCCACCACCA
Molecule: small RNA, 131 nt
Filed under: Enterobacter sp.
Lineage: Bacteria; Pseudomonadati; Pseudomonadota; Gammaproteobacteria; Enterobacterales; Enterobacteriaceae
Also listed under: 1 other name
Description: RtT sRNA
Rfam family: RtT RNA
About the family: This family represents a bacterial cis-regulatory element known as RtT RNA. The exact function of RtT is unknown although it is thought that it may be involved in changing the cellular response in relation to amino acid starvation.
Source: RNAcentral